This 526-nucleotide ribosomal RNA is filed under the name uncultured bacterium. RNAcentral's name for it is "bacterial SSU rRNA". It matches the Rfam family "Bacterial small subunit ribosomal RNA", at positions 524 to 1050 of the family's 1533-position model. The record is from RNAcentral.
UACGGAGGGUGCGAGCGUUAUUCGGAAUUACUGGGUUUAAAGGGUGCGUAGGCGGCUAAGUAAGUUGUCAUUGAAAGGCUACAGCUCAACUGUAGUAGUGGUGGCGAUACUGCUUAGCUAAGAACAUGGGAGGGGUACUUGGAAUGUGUGGUGUAGCGGUGAAAUGCGUAGAUAUCACACAGAACACCAGAGGCGAAGGCGGAGUACUAGACCAUAGUUGACGCUGAGGCACGAAAGCGUGGGGAUCAAACAGGAUUAGAUACCCUGGUAGUCCACGCCCUAAACGAUGAUCACUAGAUAUUGGCGACAAACAGUCAGUGUCCAAGCGAAAGUGAUAAGUGAUCCACCUGGGGACUACGGCCGCAAGGUUAAAACUCAAAGGAAUUGACGGGGGCCCGCACAAGCGGAGGAGCAUGUGGUUUAAUUCGAUGGUACGCGAGGAACCUUACCUGGGUUAGAACGUAUGAGCGAUGCAGCUGAAAGGUUGCAGGCCUGCGAAGGAGUUCAUACGAGGUGCUGCAUGGUU